UCAAACUUGGUCAUUUAGAGGAAGUAAAAGUCGUAACAAGGUCUCCGUUGGUGAACCAGCGGAGGGAUCAUUACAGAGUUAUGAUACUCCCAACCCUUUGUGAACCAUACCGUCGUUGCCUCGGCGCAUAACCUGGCGGUCUUUUUUCCGGUACCUACCCUGGAGCUACCUACCCUGUAGAUAGCUACCCUGUAGAUAGCUACCCUGGCGCUACCUACCCUGUAGAUAGCUACCCUGGAGCUACCCGGUAGACCGCCGGCCGCGUCAAAGGACCAGUAAACUCUUGUUUUUCUACGGUGUAUGUCUGAGUUGGUACUUAAAUUCGUUAAAACUUUCAACAACGGAUCUCUUGGUUCUGGCAUCGAUGAAGAACGCAGC
RNAcentral lists this unclassified non-coding RNA (378 nucleotides) under uncultured fungus. Its description in RNAcentral is "partial contains small subunit ribosomal RNA, internal transcribed spacer 1, and 5.8S ribosomal RNA". The stretch from base 1 to 73 matches the Rfam family "Eukaryotic small subunit ribosomal RNA", at positions 1759 to 1831 of the family's 1831-position model. Lineage: Eukaryota; Fungi. The record is from RNAcentral.